Molecule: ribosomal RNA, 192 nt
Filed under: uncultured bacterium
Lineage: Bacteria
Description: partial 16S rRNA
Rfam family: Bacterial small subunit ribosomal RNA
Source: RNAcentral
GGAGUAUCGACCCUCUCUGUGCCGAAGUUAACGCGUUAGGUGUCCCGUCUGGGAACUACGGCCGCAAGGCUAAAACUCAAAGGAAUUGACGGGGGCCCGCACAAGCAGCGGAGCGUGUGGUUUAAUUCGAUGCAAAACGAAGAACCUUACCAAGACUUGACAUGAUGGAAGUAGUGAACUGAAAGGGAAACG